This 2684-nucleotide long non-coding RNA is filed under the name Zostera marina. RNAcentral's name for it is "long non-coding RNA (ZMAR_LNC001918)". The record is from RNAcentral. Lineage: Eukaryota; Viridiplantae; Streptophyta; Magnoliopsida; Alismatales; Zosteraceae.
AAUUCUCCCUCUCCUCCGACCUACCGGCGACCAGUGUCCACUGUCCAGAGUCCAGAUUUUGUCUCUUUCAAGUCUCAACCCAUCGGAAAAACAUCACUCAUUCACUCCGAUGAUUUUUCCAUAGCACACAAUGCGUGCGACUCUCACUCUAAUGGGGCUAACGUAAUACCGUUGUUUUGAUGGAUCCCCAAUGUCUCCGGUGAACAUUAGUUGCAAGCACUGAUAAGAAAAGCAUGAAUCAUUUGAGGAGUAUGAGGCGAUCGGGAUAGGAUGGAAAUUCUCAUCAUUUGUGAUGUGAUCUGUCAUGGGAAAAUUCAGAAGCCCAAUGGAGGAUGAAGGCUUAGUUAGCCUACCAGUCAUUGCCUCGGUGAGGUUUUUUCAAAGUUCAUUUUUUUAUAUUAAUUUAGAAGAGAGGUUUUACAAAUAUUUUAUCAUACCUAAGUUGCGAUGUACUAGUGUGACUAACCCUACUUAUAAUUUACAUUUGCACACACUGUGUGCACGUCCAAAUUACAAGUAGCUGCAUACAUGUUAACCAUAAAUAGCUUAGCCACCAUUGUUCCAACUUUUCAAGGAAUGAGAGACAUGAUCUUCUCUUGGGACAAAUCUUCCCUUGUAUUUACUUGGACCAAAGACUACCAACAGAUAUUUCCAUCAUAAGUUUUUGAUUUCAUGAGUUCCUGGUCAGAGUAUUUUCUAGCUGUCAGAACGUGUAGGUAAGGUUUGGAGGGUUGCAGCUAAUUCAACUCCCCAUCUUGCAAACACAUACCUGCCAAAUAUUUUUGAAAUCUCACAUAGCUUGCUCGGCGAGGAUUUCCUUUCUUUUCAACCUCAACCAGAAUUAACAGUCUAACUCAUAUAUUUCAUAAUACAUUAAUAGAAGUAGAUUCAAAUGUGAUCUUCUUGUGUGAUCAUAUGCGAUCAUUUAAUUUUGGCCACAAUAUUAUUUAUCUUGGGAUAUGUGGUUAUUAAUAUGCUGUCUACCUUUUACUAGUGUCUUGAUUCUCUUCUCAUAAUGGAGAAUGUGGGGUCUAAUUGAGCACUCUGAAUGGUAAAAAUACAGUCAUUCAAGGACUUGUUUUGUCCAUGCUGCCUCUGAAUGGCGAGGAUUCACUAACUUUAUGUUUUCAGUACUCAUCCAGGUUGUCUUCCAUUUAGGUUGCAUCAAAAACCUAACAUCACAAUAUUAAUGUCAAAAUGUUCACUGAAAUCAAAAUGGUUCCUAAAAUAUCCAAAUUCACUAUUUGUCAAUAUUUAUAGAAAUUUGAAAAAUACCUUCUUUUUUAAUAUACCCGCCCCAACUCCCAACCUUAAGUCAUCUUAAGUUAUUAUUAUGGUGCCUUUAUGUUUACCACAUAGAUCGAGUGUCCAGAUAGGGUAGAUGAAAUCCUAACACUAUGUUUGAUACCAAAAUUUCCUCUUCUCCUCCGAAACUCUAAGUUAAUAGAUGAACAAGUCAAUGGAUAAUCACUAGUUCAAUAUCAUAACAAUUAACAUAUGAAUAUAUGAUAAAUAUAACAUUAAUUUGCAUGGAAAGGACAUUGGACAAGAAAUAACUUUGAGCAUAAAAAAACAAGCGAUCGAACAAACUCACAAACAUACUUAGGAAAUAAAACACACUAUAUCAAAUGGCGGAAUGCAUGGUGGAUUUUGGCAAUAAAUCAAGCAACAUGCUUAUUUAGUUGGCAGUUGCUUUUGCAAUAUCGCGUUUCACAGCUUGAGAGUAUGUCUUGUGCUGGUAUGUGAGAGUUGAUUCUAACAAAUCCCACAAAGAAGUUUUUGGAUUCCAUCCAAGUUGUUUGUUGAUGAUGGUCAUGUCUGGAAUACGUUUAUCACUGUCAUCAUAACCUUCACCAUAGAAUUCUUGGGCAGUUACAUCAAUAGUUGGAGUGUCCAAUAUCUUCUCUCCUGAUACCUUACCAUAGAUCUUUACCAUCAUUUCUGCAAGUUGUCUAACAGUAACUUCAUUGUUGGGGUUUCCCACAUUAAAGAUAUGACCAUUCGCCCGGUUGGGAUUUUCAAUCAUGAGAAGAACAGCUUCAAUGGCAUCUUUUAUAUAAAUAAAAGUUCUUUGUGACUCCCCACCAUCUACAAGUUUCAAAGGUUCUCCUCGCAAGAGGUUAUCGCUGAAGCAAGCCAAAACUCUUGGAACUCCUUCACCAUCAAUUCCUGGAAUAAAAUCCAUCCUUGGUCCAAUCCAGUUGUAAGGUCUCACAAUAGAGAAUUGAAGGUCAUUUUCGGCACCCUCUCCUGUUAAUUAAUGUUAAAAAAACACAAGGCAUUAAUUAAUUAAUUAAUUAAUUGCAUAAGUCAAAGUGAAACUAAUUAAAAGAUUGGUUGAAGUCUUGAAGAGAGAUAACUAUAAAUACCAUAGAUUAGCCUUUCAAUCAGCUGUUUUGCACAUGCAUAAGACCACCUCUGCUUGUCUAUCGAGCCAAAUAUGCACGGUGAUUCAUUUUCUUUCAAAACAUAAAAUUCAGGAUCUUGUCUCAAAGGGUGAUCCUUGGGAAGAAAGCUUCCAAUUGUCUUCCCGUAAACCUCACAAGUUGAGAAGUGAAUAAGGCGUUUUUUAUUCUCAGUACAGUACUUAACAACGGGAAGCGCAUCGACGAAAUUGCUGUAUAUCGUAUCAAGCGGGCGGGUGUUGUAAUCUGCCGGCGUGCAUAUUGCAGCAAGAUUGAUAG